RNAcentral lists this ribosomal RNA (612 nucleotides) under uncultured bacterium. RNAcentral's name for it is "bacterial SSU rRNA". It matches the Rfam family "Bacterial small subunit ribosomal RNA", at positions 338 to 951 of the family's 1533-position model. The record is from RNAcentral.
CCUACGGGAGGCAGCAGUAAGGAAUAUUGGUCAAUGGACGCAAGUCUGAACCAGCCAUGCCGCGUGAAGGAUUAAGGCCCUCUGGGUUGUAAACUUCUUUUAUAGGGGACGAAAAAAGGGCAUUCUUGCUCACUUGACGGUACCCUAGGAAUAAGCACCGGCUAACUCCGUGCCAGCAGCCGCGGUAAUACGGAGGGUGCAAGCGUUAUCCGGAUUUACUGGGUUUAAAGGGUGCGUAGGUGGGUUGGUAAGUCAGUGGUGAAAUCUUCGAGCUUAACUCGGAAACUGCCAUUGAUACUAUCAAUCUUGAAUCAUCUAGAGGUAAGCGGAAUAUGUCAUGUAGCGGUGAAAUGCUUAGAUAUGACAUAGAACACCAAUUGCGAAGGCAGCUUACUAUGGAUGUAUUGACACUGAGGCACGAAAGCGUGGGGAUCAAACAGGAUUAGAUACCCUGGUAGUCCACGCCCUAAACGAUGGAUACUCGACAUUUGUGAUAUACUAUAAGUGUCUGAGCGAAAGCAUUAAGUAUCCACCUGGAAGUACGACCGCAAGGUUGAAACUCAAAUGAAAUUGACGGCUGAGACGAGACGACGACGACGACGAGGGAGGAGG